Thalassophryne amazonica is the source of this 139-nucleotide long non-coding RNA. RefSeq lists it as uncharacterized. The record is from RefSeq and is a predicted model, not a curated record. The transcript has 3 exons. Lineage: Eukaryota; Metazoa; Chordata; Actinopteri; Batrachoidiformes; Batrachoididae.
AACAGGAAAACUGUCUUGCUCCAUCAGUAGCCGGCUGCCUGUAGCUUAGUUUACCUGUCAGUUUAGCUCAGCUUGGCCAAUAACGCAAAUGCUGAAGCUGGUCCAUGUCACGGCUGUCCUAUUAUGACUGGCCACCCGU